This 372-nucleotide ribosomal RNA is filed under the name uncultured organism. RNAcentral's name for it is "partial 16S ribosomal RNA". It matches the Rfam family "Bacterial small subunit ribosomal RNA", at positions 527 to 896 of the family's 1533-position model. The record is from RNAcentral.
GUAGGUGGCAAGCGUUGUCCGGAAUUAUUGGGGCGUAAAGCGCGCGCAGGCGGCUCUUUAAGUCUGAUGUGAAAGCCCACGGGCUCAACCGUGAGGGUCAUUGGAAACUGGAGAACUUGAGUACAGAAGAGGAAAGCGGUAUUCCACGUGUAGCGGUGAAAUGCGUAGAGAUGUGGAGGAACACCAGUGGCGAAGGCGGCUUUCUGGUCUGUAACUGACGCUGAGGCGCGAAAGCGUGGGGAGCAAACAGGAUUAGAUACCCUGGUAGUCCACGCCGUAAACGAUGAGUGCUAAGUGUUAGGGGGUUUCCGCCCCUUAGUGCUGCAGCUAACGCAUUAAGCACUCCGCCUGGGGAGUACGGCCGCAAGGCUG